RNAcentral lists this ribosomal RNA (624 nucleotides) under Triticum aestivum (bread wheat). RNAcentral's name for it is "partial small subunit ribosomal RNA". Lineage: Eukaryota; Viridiplantae; Streptophyta; Magnoliopsida; Poales; Poaceae. The record is from RNAcentral.
AUGCGUGAGGAGGAGGAGGCCGUGGUCAUGGUGGCGCAACGGAGGUCGUGGCUCGCCCCCCGCCGCCUCUCUCGCGCCCCCCUUUUCCUUGCCCCUCCCCAGCGUCCUUGCCUCUGCCAUGGCCUCCGCCCCCCUCUCCGCGUCACCCCCGCAGCCGCCUCCUCUCCUGCCGCCGCGCCGCCUCAGCCUCGUCUCCUCUGCGCCGCCUCCCCCUCUCCACUUCUCUCCGCCACCGCAUGGCCGCCGUCGCUGCCGCCGCUCGUCUCUUUCUUCACGCAGCUCCUGCAGGACGACGCAUCCCCAUCCUCCAUCAGCCGCUGUGGCGUGCACUACGUGGACGUGGACCGAGCGCGGGACAAGGUGACGGUGACCGGCACGGCGAGCCAGAAGAAGGUGUUGCGCGUGGCGCGGCGCACGAGGAAGCUCGCCCACGCCCCUCCUCCGCUCGCUCUCGUCUCCGUCAGGCUGCUGAUGUUCACUCCAUUGGAGCUGAGUCUCCUUGCCGGCGACCUUGCCAUCACCAGGCUGUCUACAGGGAUGGACAUAUGGAUUGAAUGGUACCCUCCUGAAACCUACGCAGGUGUCAGAUCGGAGAACGAAGAGAUGAAGAACAAUGUUAGCUGA